AGUGAACGCUGGCGGCGUGCCUAAUACAUGCAAGUCGAGCGGACGGACGAGAAGCUUGCGUCUCUGAUGUUAGCGGCGGACGGGUGGGUAACGCAUGGAUAACCUACCUCUAAUACUUGGGUAACUUCGGGGGACCGCAGCUGCUACCAGAGCAUAUUUUCAACCGCAUGGUUCAGGAGUGAAAGACGGUCUUGCUGUCACUUAUAGAUGGAUCCGCGCUGCAUUAGCUAGUUGGUAAGGUAACGGCUUACCAAGGCAACGAUGCAUAGCCGACCUGAGAGGGUGAUCAGCCACACUGGAACUGAGACACGGUCCAGACUCCUACGGGAGGCAGCAGUAGGGAAUAUUCGGCAAUGGGCGAAAGCCUGAUGGAGCCACGCCGCGUGAGUGAUGAAGGUCUUCGGAUCGUAAAGCUCUUUUAUUAGGAAAGAACAGAUGUGUAAGUAACUGUGCACAUCUUGACGGUACCUAAUCAGAAAGCCCCGGCUAACUACGUG
This 497-nucleotide ribosomal RNA is filed under the name uncultured bacterium. RNAcentral describes it as "partial 16S ribosomal RNA". It matches the Rfam family "Bacterial small subunit ribosomal RNA", at positions 29 to 507 of the family's 1533-position model. The record is from RNAcentral.